This 107-nucleotide small nuclear RNA is filed under the name Marmota marmota marmota (Alpine marmot). RNAcentral's name for it is "U4 spliceosomal RNA (ENSMMMG00000007190.1)". It matches the Rfam family "U4 spliceosomal RNA". From Rfam's summary of the family: U4 small nuclear RNA (U4 snRNA) is a component of the major U2-dependent spliceosome. The record is from Rfam by way of RNAcentral. Lineage: Eukaryota; Metazoa; Chordata; Mammalia; Rodentia; Sciuridae.
AGCUUUGCGCAGUGGCAGUAUCGUAGCCAAUGAGGUUUAUCCGAGGCGCGAUUAUUGCUAAUUGAAAACAUACACAAAGUAAGAAUUAAAAGAUUUUCCUAAAGGGA